GGUGGGGUUCCCGAGCGGCCAAAGGGAGCAGACUGUAAAUCUGCCGUCAUCGACUUCGAAUGUUAUAAUCCUUCCCCCACCACCA
RNAcentral lists this transfer RNA (85 nucleotides) under Salmonella enterica. RNAcentral describes it as "tRNA-Tyr". It matches the Rfam family "tRNA". Rfam says of the family: Transfer RNA (tRNA) molecules are approximately 80 nucleotides in length. Their secondary structure includes four short double-helical elements and three loops (D, anti-codon, and T loops). Lineage: Bacteria; Pseudomonadati; Pseudomonadota; Gammaproteobacteria; Enterobacterales; Enterobacteriaceae. The record is from RNAcentral.